Molecule: ribosomal RNA, 468 nt
Filed under: uncultured bacterium
Lineage: Bacteria
Description: partial 16S ribosomal RNA
Rfam family: Bacterial small subunit ribosomal RNA
Source: RNAcentral
GACGAACGCUGGCGGCGUGCUUAACACAUGCAAGUCGAACGGAAAGGCCCUGCUUUUGUGGGGUGCUCGAGUGGCGAACGGGUGAGUAACACGUGAGUAACCUGCCCUUGACUUUGGGAUAACUUCAGGAAACUGGGGCUCAUACCGGAUAGGAGCUCCUGCUGCAUGGUGGGGGUUGGAAAGUUUCGGCGGUUUGGGAUGGACUCGCGGCUUAUCAGCUUGUUGGUGGGGUAGGGGCUUACCAAGGCUUUGACGGGUAGCCGGCCUGAGAGGGUGACCGGCCACAUUGGGACUGAGAUACGGCGCAGACGCCUACGGGAGGCAGCAGUGGGGAAUAUUGCACAAUGGGCGGAAGCCUGAUGCAGCAACGCCGCGUGCGGGAUGACGGCCUUCGGGUUGUAAACCGCUUUCGCCUGUGACGAAGCGUGAGUGACGGUAAUGGGUAAAGAAGCACCGGCUAACUACGUG